GAUGAAGCGUAGCGAAAUGCGAUAAGUAAUGUGAAUUGCAGAAUUCAGUGAAUCAUCGAGUCUUUGAACGCACAUUGCGCCCCCUGGUAUUCCGGGGGGCAUGCCUGUCCGAGCGUCAUUGCCGCCCUCAAGCACGGCUUGUGUGUUGGGCCCCCGCCCCCCGGCUUCGGGGGGCGGGCCCGAAAGGCAGCGGCGGCACCGCGUCCGGUCCUCGAGCGUAUGGGGCUUCGUCACCCGCUCUGUAGGCCCGGCCGGCGCCCGCCGGCGACCCCAAUCAAUCUUUCCAGGUUGACCUCGGAUCAGGUAGGGAUACCCGCUGAACUUAAGCAUAUCAAUAAGCGGAGGA
This 346-nucleotide unclassified non-coding RNA is filed under the name soil metagenome. RNAcentral describes it as "partial contains 5.8S ribosomal RNA, internal transcribed spacer 2, and large subunit ribosomal RNA". The stretch from base 1 to 118 matches the Rfam family "5.8S ribosomal RNA", at positions 35 to 154 of the family's 154-position model. The record is from RNAcentral.